ACUCUGUUUCAAGAGAAAUAUUAAACUUGCAUUGGGACUAAUCUUCGGCAAAAUGGGAACGCGACCCUUGAAAAUCGGAAUGUAUGCGUCUGCUCUGUGUAGAUAAGGGCGGAUCGGGCGACGCAUGCUGAGGGCAGGCCAGGGCCAGGGUCGAGCCACUGCCAUUGAGGCCACAACGACGACGAAGACGACGCCAACGACGCCGAGAGACCGUCGACGCCACCGAGCCGCCUCCUCAUUGAACCAGCAUCUCACUCACUGUCAAGUUCCAAGCCACCUCCUCACCAAGAUGGAGCCAUCCCCCUUGCGA
This 310-nucleotide long non-coding RNA is filed under the name Bemisia tabaci. Its description in RNAcentral is "lncRNA ENSSSA1UGG000138". Lineage: Eukaryota; Metazoa; Arthropoda; Insecta; Hemiptera; Aleyrodidae. The record is from RNAcentral.